GAUGAACGCUGGCGGCGUGCUUAACACAUGCAAGUCGAACGAUGAAGCCCAGCUUGCUGGGUGGAUUAGUGGCGAACGGGUGAGUAACACGUGAGUAACCUGCCCUUAACUCUGGGAUAGGCAGGGUAAACAGGCCUUAUUACAGACAGGAGAAUACAUCGGACCGUAGGGUUUUGUAAGGAUUAAGGGGUUUUGGGUGACUUCUCGGCUUAUCCGCUCGUUGUUAGGUAAUUGGUUGUCAAAGGGCUUGCCGGGUAGCCGACCUGAGAGGGUGACCGGCGACACUGGGACUGAGAGACGGCCCAGACUCCAACGGGAGGCAGCAGUGGGGAAUAUUGCGCAAUGGGCGCAAGCCUGAUGCAGCGACGCCGCGUGAGGGAUGACGGCCUUCGAGUGGUAAACCUCUUUCAGUAGGGAAGAAGCGAAAGUGACGGUACCUGCAGAAGAAGCACCGGCUAACUACGUG
RNAcentral lists this ribosomal RNA (466 nucleotides) under uncultured bacterium. RNAcentral describes it as "partial 16S ribosomal RNA". It matches the Rfam family "Bacterial small subunit ribosomal RNA", at positions 28 to 507 of the family's 1533-position model. The record is from RNAcentral.